This 459-nucleotide ribosomal RNA is filed under the name Triticum aestivum (bread wheat). Its description in RNAcentral is "partial small subunit ribosomal RNA". The record is from RNAcentral. Lineage: Eukaryota; Viridiplantae; Streptophyta; Magnoliopsida; Poales; Poaceae.
AUGAAGGAGCUGAAAGCAACCAAGGUCAUUCAAUGCGAAGCGACGUACGUCGACCUGGGUGAUCUUGUCGAGUCCGUGAGGCCAAACGGUAAAAUGUCGACGAAUGUAGUUGCAUGCGGGAUUGAUUACAUCAACAAUCAUAUGGAUGUGUGUGCCGACAAAACAAUCAUGCAUUACAGUGUGACCUGCAAAAUAUGGGAUGGUGACUUCCACCACAAAAUCCCGAGAAAGAAUUUUGCACAACACGGUGAAUUCAAGCUCACACUGAAGAAAUAUCUCGUGUUCCCCAUGUUCCAGGAGUUUGCACCACAUGAUCAACACGACAAGUGUGGUCACCACUAUGCAAUCUGUCUUGACCUAAAGAACCAACUGAUGAGGACAUCAAUACCAUUGUUACACCCACGGCCCCUGCUGCUAUACAUAUUGGACCAAUUACUAGAGCUCGCGCAUGCCAGCUAA